This 343-nucleotide unclassified non-coding RNA is filed under the name soil metagenome. RNAcentral's name for it is "partial contains 5.8S ribosomal RNA, internal transcribed spacer 2, and large subunit ribosomal RNA". The stretch from base 1 to 120 matches the Rfam family "5.8S ribosomal RNA", at positions 35 to 154 of the family's 154-position model. The record is from RNAcentral.
GAUGAAGAACGUAGCGAAAUGCGAUAAGUAAUGUGAAUUGCAGAAUUCAGUGAAUCAUCGAAUCUUUGAACGCACAUUGCGCCCGCUAGUAUUCUGGCGGGCAUGCCUGUCCGAGCGUCAUUUCAACCCUCAAGCCCCCGGGCUUGGUGUUGGGGAUCGGCGAGCCUCCGCGCCCGCCGUCCCCUAAAUCUAGUGGCGGUCUCGCUGUAGCUUCCUCUGCGUAGUAGCACACCUCGCACUGGGAAACAGCGCGGCCACGCCGUUAAACCCCCAACUUCUGAACGUUUGACCUCGGAUCAGGUAGGAAUACCCGCUGAACUUAAGCAUAUUAAUAAGCGGAGGA